This 176-nucleotide ribosomal RNA is filed under the name uncultured bacterium. RNAcentral describes it as "partial 16S ribosomal RNA". It matches the Rfam family "Bacterial small subunit ribosomal RNA", at positions 355 to 530 of the family's 1533-position model. The record is from RNAcentral.
UAAGGGAUAUUGGACAAUGGGCGAAAGGUGAUCGGCCAUGCCGCGUGCAUGAAGAAGGCCUUACAGGUUGUAAACUGUUUUUGUACCGAAAUAAACCUUGAUACGUGUAUCAAGCUGAAUGUACGGUAAGAAUAAGGAUCGGCUAACUCCGUGCCAGCCGCCGCGGUAAUUAAAAA